AGGGAUGUGGCGCAGCUUGGUAGCGCGUUUGUUUUGGGUACAAAAUGUCACGGGUUCAAAUCCCGUCAUCCCUA
This 74-nucleotide transfer RNA is filed under the name Xylanche himalaica. RNAcentral describes it as "Boschniakia himalaica tRNA-Pro". It matches the Rfam family "tRNA". From Rfam's summary of the family: Transfer RNA (tRNA) molecules are approximately 80 nucleotides in length. Their secondary structure includes four short double-helical elements and three loops (D, anti-codon, and T loops). Lineage: Eukaryota; Viridiplantae; Streptophyta; Magnoliopsida; Lamiales; Orobanchaceae. The record is from RNAcentral.